UACGAAGGGUGCAAGCGUUAUUCGGAAUCACUGGGCGUAAAGGGUGUGUAGACGGUUUAUUAAGUUCGUCGUUAAAGGCUCCGGCCUAACUGGAGUACUGCGAUGAAAACUGGUUGACUAGAGGGUGAGAGAGAGAAGUGGAAUUCCUGGAGUAGCGGUAAAAUGCGUGGAUCUCAGGAGGAACACCAAUGGCGAAGGCAGCUUCUUGGCUCAUUCCUGACGUUGAGGCACGAAAGCGUGGGGAGCAAACAGG
This 253-nucleotide ribosomal RNA is filed under the name uncultured bacterium. RNAcentral's name for it is "partial 16S ribosomal RNA". It matches the Rfam family "Bacterial small subunit ribosomal RNA", at positions 524 to 776 of the family's 1533-position model. The record is from RNAcentral.